RNAcentral lists this ribosomal RNA (492 nucleotides) under uncultured bacterium. Its description in RNAcentral is "partial 16S ribosomal RNA". It matches the Rfam family "Bacterial small subunit ribosomal RNA", at positions 29 to 507 of the family's 1533-position model. The record is from RNAcentral.
AGUGAACGCUGGCGGUAGGCCUAACACAUGCAAGUCGAACGGCAGCACAGUAAGAGCUUGCUCUUACGGGUGGCGAGUGGCGGACGGGUGAGGAAUACAUCGGAAUCUACUUUUUCGUGGGGGAUAACGUAGGGAAACUUACGCUAAUACCGCAUACGACCUACGGGUGAAAGCAGGGGAUCUUCGGACCUUGCGCGAUUGAAUGAGCCGAUGUCGGAUUAGCUAGUUGGCGGGGUAAAGGCCCACCAAGGCGACGACCCGUAGCUGGUCUGAGAGGAUGGUCAGCCACACUGGAACUGAGACACGGUCCAGACUCCUACAGGAGGCAGCAGUGGGGAAUAUUGGACAAUGGGCGCAAGCCUGAUCCAGCCAUACCGCGUGGGUGAAGAAGGCCUUCGGGUUGUAAAGCCCUUUUGUUGGGAAAGAAAAGCAGCAGGUUAAUACCCCGCUGUUCUGACGGUACCCAAAGAAUAAGCACCGGCUAACUUCGUG